GUCUUUCCGCACUGACGCAUGCGCCUGAGCACACUCCGGAGCCCCUGCACCGACUUGUCCUGAGGCUAACUGAAUUGCUGGUGGUGGCACGAGAUGGGGUAAACAGGUUCUGGCCAGCGUGGCGCGCCCCACCGCACCCCUGCGCCCAAUCCAAGGUGGCCAUGAGGUCCAAGCCUGGGGAUCCCGGACUCCACUGUUUUCUGCAGAUCUCGUGAUAGCGUACUUAAAAAUCAUGAAACAGCCGAGGCGUGCAGCCCAGAAGACACCGCGCUGCUGCAGGAAGGACGUUCUCCGAGUGGUAGAGGAAUCCGCAGUGACCCACAUAUCUGCCUGCUAAGGUUGCUGCCUGCACGCUCAUCCGCAGAGCUUGACUCAUCUGCGCCUGCGAUGAUGCUGCCGAGGCUAGCGAUGCUGCCGGCUUCCUUAGACUGAUUGCUAAGAGUGGGCAAGGGCCGAGCUCUCCAGAUUAUGUAACAAGGUAUUUUGCCCAAAACGCACACUAUAUUUAGAAAUAUUCAAAUGUGGCGGCGUCACCGUCCACAGGACGCACUGGGUAGUUCACAGCCUCGGUUCUGCAGCCAGAGCCUGGUGCCCUCAAUUCUCGCUGGGCAUCCUGUCAUCUUGGUCUGAUCUAUUCCAACGGAGGAGGACAGACCAUCCCCUGGAGGGGUUUCAGAUGACCUUGGGACGGUCCACUCCCACUGGAGGCGUGCGGUCUGACUGUGCGCCAGUGCCGGCUCCAGGGGCCAGCCUGUUUCCCCAGUCAUAUUAAGGUGGAGUCACGGGAGAACCCUACACCGUGCUGAUAGUCAUUUUACCGUUCAAAAGAACACUUUUCACAAGGUGUGGUGUCACAUGCUGUUAAUCCUAGAAUUCAGGAGGCAGAUCUCUUUUGAGUUGAGGCCAGCCUGGUCUACAUAGCAAGUUCCAGGGCUCAAAAGAAAGUAACAGCCUAAUUUAUAAACCAUGACUAAAUAAUUCAAAAUCACUAUUUGUCUCUACAGUAUAUUUACCCUAAAAUACCUUUCCUGAUGUGUGGAUUCUUUUAUAUUCUCAGUCCCACCAAGAGGCCCACUAUGCAGUGAUUUAAAUACACACACACACACACACACACACACACACACACAGAGCCUGCAACAUAAUUUCAUUUAAAUUUAAAAAGCUGUAACACUUUUGAAAUAAAUCAAAGGGAAGUGGUGUUAAAUCAGGCUGACAUGAAGGAGGGAACCAUGCUGGGUUAAAAAGUCACUGGUGAGUUUUGUUUUGUUUGUUUUGUUUAUGCAGGGCUGGGACUUGAACCCAGGGCCUCAGGCAUGUCAGGCAAGCACCCCACUGCUGACCUACUCCUUCAGCCUGUACAUUCUUGAUUAUGAGCAGGGGCGGGCAUGACAGCCCAGAAAGAGUUUACCUGGGAACUCGGACAUCCAGUCUAAUCCACAAACCCAGUCACGUCCACCUUCCAGCCUUAUGUAACUUACUGAGCUACACGGGUUGUGUGUCUCAGAGGAGGGCCUUCUGCUGCCUGAAGAUGCAGCCUGGCCCCCGAACAGGAGGAGGGAUGCCUGACUGACAGCCUGGGGAUCUACUUAAUUCUGCUACUGUGGGCCCAAGCAGUGGCAUGAAGGGGUUUUAACCACGCGCUACAUGUAGGACCUGAGAUGAUGAGAGGAUGCGAUUUCCAUCCUGACCAUCUGACCUUGGUCUGUGACCGAGGAAGAGCAUCUUCACUAGCUGCCCGUGAACAGAAGGGACGCAGGUGAGUGUGACUUGGGUCCAGCGUGUGACCCACACUCACCGUUGUGCUCAGGGAGUGCAUGCGCAAUCAGGAAGUUGGGUCUUCCACUCUUCAGCGACCAAACAAGAUGAUAAAUUAGACCCACGAGUCCCAAGUCCUUUUAACCCUUUCCUCCCCACACCAGGAAUCUAGUCACUGAACUGCAGAACUGGAUGCAGUCACUGGUCUUUAUCUUUGGAGGGUGUUCCCUUAAGAUUUUUCAGUGACUUCUGCAAGGGACACUGUGCCCCUAAAAAAUAAAAUAAAAUAAAUGAGCAUUUCCAAGAAAACCAAACUUGACCUUAGUCUACUUCUUGUUAUUAGAGUCAUGUUUGCUGUUUUUGAAAAAUGCAUUCAGUGUGCUAAAUGAAAGAAAUUAAAAAUGUACAGAACAGCCUCCUCCCAAGCCACAGGCCGACCCCUCCCCAGAGUCUGCUGUGUGUCAUAGCCUUGAAGUCU
Meriones unguiculatus (Mongolian gerbil) is the source of this 2233-nucleotide long non-coding RNA. RefSeq lists it as uncharacterized. NCBI's taxonomy places the organism in Eukaryota, Metazoa, Chordata, Mammalia, Rodentia, Muridae. The record is from RefSeq and is a predicted model, not a curated record. The transcript is spliced from 3 exons.